UGUGGUAAAAGGAGACUUCUCUGUCAUAACUGCGGCUAGUGUUGCCUAUCCAUAAAUAAGCAAACAAUUUGUCACUAAAGAGGUUAUCCGAUAAACCAUCAUGAAAGAGGUUAUUUUUUGAACUUGGGCACAAUUCUGAAAGAAAUGAAGAACAAAAUUCACUUGCACCUCCCCCUAGGAUUACCAUAAUAUGAAGACAUAAUUCCUCCAAAGG
Molecule: non-coding RNA, 214 nt
Organism: Microcebus murinus (gray mouse lemur)
Lineage: Eukaryota; Metazoa; Chordata; Mammalia; Primates; Cheirogaleidae
Source: RefSeq, a predicted model, not a curated record